RNAcentral lists this ribosomal RNA (1548 nucleotides) under Neisseria gonorrhoeae. RNAcentral describes it as "bacterial SSU rRNA". It matches the Rfam family "Bacterial small subunit ribosomal RNA". The record is from RNAcentral. Lineage: Bacteria; Pseudomonadati; Pseudomonadota; Betaproteobacteria; Neisseriales; Neisseriaceae. RNAcentral also lists the same sequence under 1 other name.
AUUGAACAUAAGAGUUUGAUCCUGGCUCAGAUUGAACGCUGGCGGCAUGCUUUACACAUGCAAGUCGGACGGCAGCACAGGGAAGCUUGCUUCUCGGGUGGCGAGUGGCGAACGGGUGAGUAACAUAUCGGAACGUACCGGGUAGCGGGGGAUAACUGAUCGAAAGAUCAGCUAAUACCGCAUACGUCUUGAGAGGGAAAGCAGGGGACCUUCGGGCCUUGCGCUAUCCGAGCGGCCGAUAUCUGAUUAGCUGGUUGGCGGGGUAAAGGCCCACCAAGGCGACGAUCAGUAGCGGGUCUGAGAGGAUGAUCCGCCACACUGGGACUGAGACACGGCCCAGACUCCUACGGGAGGCAGCAGUGGGGAAUUUUGGACAAUGGGCGCAAGCCUGAUCCAGCCAUGCCGCGUGUCUGAAGAAGGCCUUCGGGUUGUAAAGGACUUUUGUCAGGGAAGAAAAGGCCGUUGCCAAUAUCGGCGGCCGAUGACGGUACCUGAAGAAUAAGCACCGGCUAACUACGUGCCAGCAGCCGCGGUAAUACGUAGGGUGCGAGCGUUAAUCGGAAUUACUGGGCGUAAAGCGGGCGCAGACGGUUACUUAAGCAGGAUGUGAAAUCCCCGGGCUCAACCCGGGAACUGCGUUCUGAACUGGGUGACUCGAGUGUGUCAGAGGGAGGUGGAAUUCCACGUGUAGCAGUGAAAUGCGUAGAGAUGUGGAGGAAUACCGAUGGCGAAGGCAGCCUCCUGGGAUAACACUGACGUUCAUGUCCGAAAGCGUGGGUAGCAAACAGGAUUAGAUACCCUGGUAGUCCACGCCCUAAACGAUGUCAAUUAGCUGUUGGGCAACUUGAUUGCUUGGUAGCGUAGCUAACGCGUGAAAUUGACCGCCUGGGGAGUACGGUCGCAAGAUUAAAACUCAAAGGAAUUGACGGGGACCCGCACAAGCGGUGGAUGAUGUGGAUUAAUUCGAUGCAACGCGAAGAACCUUACCUGGUUUUGACAUGUGCGGAAUCCUCCGGAGACGGAGGAGUGCCUUCGGGAGCCGUAACACAGGUGCUGCAUGGCUGUCGUCAGCUCGUGUCGUGAGAUGUUGGGUUAAGUCCCGCAACGAGCGCAACCCUUGUCAUUAGUUGCCAUCAUUCGGUUGGGCACUCUAAUGAGACUGCCGGUGACAAGCCGGAGGAAGGUGGGGAUGACGUCAAGUCCUCAUGGCCCUUAUGACCAGGGCUUCACACGUCAUACAAUGGUCGGUACAGAGGGUAGCCAAGCCGCGAGGCGGAGCCAAUCUCACAAAACCGAUCGUAGUCCGGAUUGCACUCUGCAACUCGAGUGCAUGAAGUCGGAAUCGCUAGUAAUCGCAGGUCAGCAUACUGCGGUGAAUACGUUCCCGGGUCUUGUACACACCGCCCGUCACACCAUGGGAGUGGGGGAUACCAGAAGUAGGUAGGGUAACCGCAAGGAGCCCGCUUACCACGGUAUGCUUCAUGACUGGGGUGAAGUCGUAACAAGGUAGCCGUAGGGGAACCUGCGGCUGGAUCACCUCCUUUCUAG